UCCGGUUGAUCCUGCCAGAGGCCGCUGCUAUCUGGCUGGGACUAAGCCAUGCUAGUCUAGGGGCUUGUAUCCCUUCGGGGAUGCAAGCACCGGCGAACGGCUCAGUAACACGUGGACAACCUGCCCUCGGGAGGGGGAUAACCCCGGGAAACUGGGGCUAAACCCCCAUAGGAGAUGGGUACUGGAAUGUCCCAUCUCCGAAAGUCCGCAAGGAGCCCGAGGAUGGGUCUGCGGCGGAUUAGGUAGUUGGUGGGGUAACGGCCCACCAAGCCUAAGAUCCGUACGGGCUGUGGGAGCAGGAGCCCGGAGAUGGACCCUGAGACAAGGGUCCAGGCCCUACGGGGCGCAGCAGGCGCGAAACCUUCGCAAUGCGGGAAACCGCGACGAGGUCAGCCAGAGUGCCCGUGCAUUGCGCGGGCUGUCCGGGUGCCUAAACAGCACCCGACAGCAAGGGCCGGGCAAGGCCGGUGGCAGCCGCCGCGGUAAUACCGGCGGCCCGAGUGGCGGCCACUCUUAUUGGGCCUAAAGCGUCCGUAGCCGGCCCAGUAAGUCCUCCGGGAAAUCUGGUCGCUCAACGAUCAGGCUUCCGGGGGAUACUGCUGGGCUAGGGACCGGGAGAGGCCGGGGGAAUUCCCGGGGUAGGGGUGAAAUCCUGUAAUCCCGGGAGGACCACCUGUGGCGAAGGCGCCCGGCUGGAACG
This 700-nucleotide ribosomal RNA is filed under the name uncultured archaeon. RNAcentral describes it as "bacterial SSU rRNA". It matches the Rfam family "Archaeal small subunit ribosomal RNA", at positions 1 to 687 of the family's 1478-position model. The record is from RNAcentral.